This 252-nucleotide ribosomal RNA is filed under the name uncultured bacterium. RNAcentral's name for it is "partial 16S ribosomal RNA". It matches the Rfam family "Bacterial small subunit ribosomal RNA", at positions 524 to 776 of the family's 1533-position model. The record is from RNAcentral.
UACGUAGGGAGCGAGCGUUGUCCGGAAUUACUGGGUGUAAAGGGAGCGUAGGCGGGGUCUCAAGUCGAAUGUUAAAUCUACCGGCUCAACUGGUAGCUGCGUUCGAAACUGGGGCUCUUGAGUGAAGUAGAGGCAGGCGGAAUUCCUAGUGUAGCGGUGAAAUGCGUAGAUAUUAGGAGGAACACCAGUGGCGAAGGCGGCCUGCUGGGCUUUUACUGACGCUGAGGCUCGAAAGCGUGGGGAGCAAACAGG